This 605-nucleotide ribosomal RNA is filed under the name uncultured bacterium. RNAcentral describes it as "bacterial SSU rRNA". It matches the Rfam family "Bacterial small subunit ribosomal RNA", at positions 72 to 712 of the family's 1533-position model. The record is from RNAcentral.
GCGGGGCUUCGGCCCCGUGGAAACUGGCGCACGGGUGAGUAACGCGUGGGAAUCUACCCCGGGGUGGGGAAUAACCGCUGGAAACGGCGGCUAAUACCGCAUACGCCUUGCGAGGGAAAGCUUUAGCGCCCUGGGACGAGCCCGCGUCGGAUUAGCUUGUUGGUGAGGUAACGGCUCACCAAGGCUUCGAUCCGUAGCUGGUCUGAGAGGAUGAUCAGCCACACUGGGACCGAGACACGGCCCAGACUCCUACGGGAGGCAGCAGUGGGGAAUAUUGGACAAUGGGGGCAACCCUGAUCCAGCCAUGCCGCGUGCGUGAAGAAGGCCUUAGGGUUGUAAAGCGCUUUCGGCGGGGAAGAUGAUGACGGUACCCGCAGAAGAAGCUCCGGCUAACUCCGUGCCAGCAGCCGCGGUAAUACGGAGGGGGCUAGCGUUGUUCGGAAUUACUGGGCGUAAAGGGCGCGUAGGCGGAUUGUCAAGUCAGAGGUGAAAGCCCUGGGCUCAACCUGGGAACUGCCUUUGAAACUAACGGUCUAGAGUCCGAGAGAGGAUGGCGGAAUUCCCAGUGUAGAGGUGAAAUUCGUAGAUAUUGGGAAGAACACCAG